UACGGGGGGGGGCAAGCGUUGUUCGGAAUUACUGGGCGUAAAGGGCGCGCAGGCGGCUCAUUUUGUCAGGCGUGAAAGCCCCGGGCUUAACCUGGGAACUGCGUUUGAUACGGAUGGGCUAGAGUUCGGGAGAGGAGAGUGGAAUUCCCAGUGUAGAGGUGAAAUUCGUAGAUAUUGGGAAGAACACCGGUGGCGAAGGCGGCUCUCUGGACCGAGACUGACGCUGAGGAGCGAAAGCGUGGGGAGCGAACAGG
RNAcentral lists this ribosomal RNA (254 nucleotides) under uncultured bacterium. Its description in RNAcentral is "partial 16S ribosomal RNA". It matches the Rfam family "Bacterial small subunit ribosomal RNA", at positions 524 to 776 of the family's 1533-position model. The record is from RNAcentral.